Drosophila gunungcola (fruit fly) is the source of this 1115-nucleotide long non-coding RNA. RefSeq lists it as uncharacterized. Lineage: Eukaryota; Metazoa; Arthropoda; Insecta; Diptera; Drosophilidae. The record is from RefSeq and is a predicted model, not a curated record. The transcript has 3 exons.
CCUGAGUCCGCCCAGACUGAAUCGGAGCACCGCCGGAGGCUGAGUGCCCCUCCAGCUUCUGAGAGCUGCGGUCCACGGGGGUCUUUCCCGGCCAAGUGACUGAAUGGAUGAUGGUCUGCUAGCCACUCGCAUUUUACGACCGGCGAUUGCCUUGUUUGUCCGGCUAGCCGGCAGUUGUAAAUAUGCUGCGGCGGUGAGUCAGGCAGGCGCGCGGCCAAAAGUCGGGUAAUUAGGGAUCAUCGUCCAGGUGGACCAGGUAGACAGCCACCAGCGACUCCUGGCCAAGGCCGUCCUCCACCGCCCGAUUAGGGAGUUACAAACGCAUCAAGAAACAAUUAGCAGGGGAUUAGCACAGUGACCUAACGGCCGGGCUGGCUGAUCAUCUAACCCGUCAUUUUGGCGGGGAAAUAAAUGGUGACAGUCAUCGUUAGUCAGUUUUCCCACACAGAGAAAAAUAAAGAUGCAAGUCAAUCACUUUCGAUUUGUGACCCUAAGACGUCAUCGCGGAUUGCAACGAACUGGCGAUAAGCGCCCUUGUUGGUUUAGAUAAGCGACGUUGGGUCGACCGGAAACCGGACCGGCAAUAACCAAACCCUCUGGCUUGGAAAAGGAGAAGCGAAAAAAAAAAGAAAGAAAACGCAACCGAAUGCAUAUCAGAAAGCAGAGCACUCAAAGUGAAAUGUCAACUCAUUGUUCGGCGGAAAAGCUAAGCGGUCUUUGAUUUGUGGCCGACACUCAGGCCCAUCUCAUGCAUUAUGCAGAUCUUGUCCAGCUCGAGUUUCAAGUUCAAUACAAAGUUCACACCACGCAGCUGUCAGCAGUGAUGUACUCUGCGGUCAACGAAAGUGAUACCGAUUUCGGAGCAAUGAAAUCUGUAUACCCUAUCCACAAGUAAGAUAGGGACUUUAAUCCACAAGUGGGGGAGUUUCUCAUAAGACUGUUUUGCCGAAAUUUCCGUGUUUCGGUUACGGUUUCAGCUCACACAUUUUAUUUACCUCGGAAACCCCGUUACUGUUUUGAAAUUGAAUCGGUUAAUAUCGUUUAACAGCUCCGUUAGUUGCGGUUUAGGCCCCAUGCUCGAAAAGCAAAUAAACAUAUCUGUUAAAUUAAUGAAA